CAGCCGCCGCGGUAAUACGUAGGGUGCGAGCGUUGUCCGGAAUUAUUGGGCGUAAAGAGCUUGUAGGCGGUCUGUCGCGUCUGCUGUGAAAACCCGAGGCUCAACCUCGGGCCUGCAGUGGGUACGGGCAGACUAGAGUGCGGUAGGGGAGAACGGAACUCCUGGUGUAGCGGUGGAAUGCGCAGAUAUCAGGAAGAACACCGAUGGCGAAGGCAGUUCUCUGGGCCGUAACUGACGCUGAGAAGCGAAAGCGUGGGGAGCGAACAGGAUUAGAGACCCGUGUAGUCCCUGUCUCUUAUAC
RNAcentral lists this ribosomal RNA (301 nucleotides) under uncultured bacterium. RNAcentral describes it as "partial 16S ribosomal RNA". It matches the Rfam family "Bacterial small subunit ribosomal RNA", at positions 509 to 807 of the family's 1533-position model. The record is from RNAcentral.